RNAcentral lists this ribosomal RNA (253 nucleotides) under uncultured bacterium. RNAcentral's name for it is "partial 16S ribosomal RNA". It matches the Rfam family "Bacterial small subunit ribosomal RNA", at positions 524 to 776 of the family's 1533-position model. The record is from RNAcentral.
UACGAAGGUGGCAAGCGUUGUUCGGAUUUACUGGGCGUACAGGGAGCGUAGGCGGUUGGAUAAGCCCUCCGUGAAAUCUCCAGGCUUAACCUGGAAAGUGCAGAGGGGACUGUUCAGCUAGAGGAUGGGAGAGGAGCGCGGAAUUCCCGGUGUAGCGGUGAAAUGCGUAGAGCUCGGGAAGAACAUCGGUGGCGAAAGCGCUCUGCUGGACUGCAACUGACACUCAGGGACGAAAGCUAGGGGAGCGAAUGGG